AUCUAUGUCGUCGAAAAUUCGU
RNAcentral lists this non-coding RNA (22 nucleotides) under Arabidopsis thaliana (thale cress). Lineage: Eukaryota; Viridiplantae; Streptophyta; Magnoliopsida; Brassicales; Brassicaceae. The record is from RNAcentral.